UACACUCCUACGGGAGGCAGCAGUGGGGAAUUUUGGACAAUGGGCGAAAGCCUGAUCCAGCAAUGCCGCGUGAGUGAAGAAGGCCUUCGGGUUGUAAAGCUCUUUUGUCAGGGAAGAAACGGUGAAAGCUAAUAUCUUUUGCUAAUGACGGUACCUGAAGAAUAAGCACCGGCUAACUACGUGCCAGCAGCCGCGGUAAUACGUAGGGUGCAAGCGUUAAUCGGAAUUACUGGGCGUAAAGCGUGCGCAGGCGGUUUUGUAAGUCUGAUGUGAAAUCCCCGGGCUCAACCUGGGAAUUGCAUUGGAGACUGCAAGGCUAGAAUCUGGCAGAGGGGGGUAGAAUUCCACGUGUAGCAGUGAAAUGCGUAGAUAUGUGGAGGAACACCGAUGGCGAAGGCAGCCCCCUGGGUCAAGAUUGACGCUCAUGCACGAAAGCGUGGGGAGCAAACAGGAUUAGAUACCCGGGUAGUCCCAUGA
Molecule: ribosomal RNA, 477 nt
Filed under: uncultured organism
Description: partial 16S ribosomal RNA
Rfam family: Bacterial small subunit ribosomal RNA
Source: RNAcentral